GACGAACCGUGCGAACGUUGUUCGGAAUCACUGGGCUUAAAGGGCGCGUAGGCGGUCCACCCAGUCGGGGGUGAAAUCUUUCGGCUUAACCGGAAAAGUGCCUUCGAUACUGGUGGACUAGAGGUGGGUAGGGGCAGAUGGAACUUCCGGUGGAGCGGUGAAAUGUGUUGAUAUCGGAAGGAACGCCGGUGGCGAAAGCGAUCUGCUGGACCCUUUCUGACGCUGAGGCGCGAAAGCCAGGGGAGCAAACGGG
This 253-nucleotide ribosomal RNA is filed under the name uncultured bacterium. RNAcentral's name for it is "partial 16S ribosomal RNA". It matches the Rfam family "Bacterial small subunit ribosomal RNA", at positions 524 to 776 of the family's 1533-position model. The record is from RNAcentral.